CAGCGCCACAAGUGGCAAUCACAUUUAUUGGGCCUAAAGCAUCCGUAGCCGGCUCUGUAAGUUUUCGGUUAAAUCUGUACGCUCAACGUACAGGCUGCCGGGAAUACUGCAGAGCUAGGGAGUGGGAGAGGUAGACGGUACUCGGUAGGAAGGGGUAAAAUCCUUUGAUCUAUUGAUGACCACCUGUGGCGAAGGCGGUCUACCAGAACACGUCCGACGGUGAGGGAUGAAAGCUGGGGGAGCAAACCGGAUUAGAUACCCGAGUAGUCC
This 270-nucleotide ribosomal RNA is filed under the name uncultured archaeon. RNAcentral's name for it is "partial 16S ribosomal RNA". It matches the Rfam family "Archaeal small subunit ribosomal RNA", at positions 477 to 747 of the family's 1478-position model. The record is from RNAcentral.